GAUGAACGCUGGCGGCGCGCCUAACACAUGCAAGUCGAACGGUUAAAGCACCUUCGGGUGUGUAUAAAGUGGCGAACGGCUGAGUAACACGUGGGCAACCUGCCCCUCGCACCGGGACAGCCUCGGGAAACCGUGGUUAAUACCGGAUACUCCGCCACCCCCGCAUGGGGGAGGCGGGAAAGCCCAGACGGCGAGGGAUGGGCCCGCGGCCUGUUAGCUUGUUGGCGGGGUAACGGCCCACCAAGGCAAUGAUGGGUAGCCGGGUUGAGAGACCGACCGGCCAGAUUGGGACUGAGACACGGCCCAGACUCCUACGGGAGGCAGCAGUGGGGAAUCUUGCACAAUGGGCGAAAGCCUGAUGCAGCGACGCCGCGUGCGGGACGAAGGCCUUCGGGUCGUAAACCGCUUUCAGCAGGGAUGAGGCCGC
Molecule: ribosomal RNA, 427 nt
Filed under: Olsenella sp. oral taxon D22
Lineage: Bacteria; Bacillati; Actinomycetota; Coriobacteriia; Coriobacteriales; Atopobiaceae
Description: bacterial SSU rRNA
Rfam family: Bacterial small subunit ribosomal RNA
Source: RNAcentral